Molecule: small RNA, 122 nt
Filed under: Enterobacter huaxiensis
Lineage: Bacteria; Pseudomonadati; Pseudomonadota; Gammaproteobacteria; Enterobacterales; Enterobacteriaceae
Description: RtT RNA
Rfam family: RtT RNA
About the family: This family represents a bacterial cis-regulatory element known as RtT RNA. The exact function of RtT is unknown although it is thought that it may be involved in changing the cellular response in relation to amino acid starvation.
Source: RNAcentral
UAACGGGGAAGGAUGAGAAGCUUCGACCAAGGUUCGAUUCGAGCGUAGCGAGAAAGCGUUGCCGCAGGCAACGACCCGAAGGGCGAGGCGCAACGCGCCGAGUAAUCCUUCCCCCACCACCA